This 1033-nucleotide long non-coding RNA is filed under the name Pan troglodytes (chimpanzee). RNAcentral describes it as "long non-coding RNA NONPTRT011099". The record is from RNAcentral. Lineage: Eukaryota; Metazoa; Chordata; Mammalia; Primates; Hominidae.
GUUAGUCAUUUUACAGUGUCAGCACCAGCCUGUGGAUCUGUCUGACAGCGGAUGUAUUGUCACAGUGCAGUCUGAGAUCCAGCCUUCAGCUUUUGUAAGAAUCCAGUUAGCCACUGCACAAAACAUCUUGUUAAAAUCGCAAUUCUAAGGCCUCUUCUUGGCUUUAUUGUUUCUUCCUGUUCUUUAAAUUUGUAAAUGAUUUUUACCUUUAUGAGCAUAGAAGGCAUUAAAAUUCGACUAUACCGGAACAAAAAUUUAUAAUUCCAGCAUGAAUGCAACGAUCAAAACGUUAAUCCAGGACGUGCACAGAUAGACUGGACCAGCGCUGGGCGACAGUGCUCAAGCUUUCUGCUGCAAUGGAGUGGAGUGCACUGACGCUCUGCACAAAUAUCUGCACAGGGCAGCGUUAUAGAUAACCACUCACUGCUCCCUGAGGGGCUUGAGAUCAUUCGAUGUCUAAGAACUACUACUGGCUUGUAAAUGUCAAGAGAAAUUAUGAACAUUUGUAGAAAAGUAACUGUUUGACUAAUUUCCUGUUCCAUGGAGCAAACAUACUGCCCCAUGUAUUUAGAAUCUGGUGCUGACAGCCAGGCCAUGGCAAGCUUCAAGGUUAUAGGAUCAUAAAUGGGAUUAGAUAAGCCAGACAGUGCGGCUCAGACUCCAGCACUUUAAAAAUAUUAUUAAAACCCCAGGAAAGGCAAACAAUUUUGAAGGGAAAGUAAGAUAUAACAGACUCCCACCAAGAGAGAAAAGAAUCUUGGAUAUGAUACUGGAACUUGGUAACCCCUUCCCCCACCCACCCCCCGCUGCCCCCCCAGAGCACUUCCAGAGUGCAUGUUAGUUAGAAUCAAUCAACAUUUUAGGACAUAAGACAUAAUGCAACAAGUCAUGCUUUGUAGCUCAGACAGAUUUUUCUAUUUGAUUUGAUCCAUGACGAAAAAAAAAUUUUAAGGAAAGAACAAAGAAAACUUACUGAGAAGACCAAAAUCAACAGUAAGAAGUCGCAGUUCCAGAGAGCAGAAUGCAGUGUCCC